Molecule: long non-coding RNA, 479 nt
Filed under: Bemisia tabaci
Lineage: Eukaryota; Metazoa; Arthropoda; Insecta; Hemiptera; Aleyrodidae
Description: lncRNA ENSSSA2NGG013027
Source: RNAcentral
AUCAUAGUGAGAGACUUCAUUAUUUGCUCACCAGAAAAUCUCUCAUUCGGAUGAUUUAUUAAUGGAAUGUAUUUUGCGUUGAUUUCAGGAGAUUUGGAGGACCCGACUGGAAAAAUCCGCGAUCACUUAGUUGCCAAUUCUACAUCACAAUAUGCUUCAGAGCAACGAAAGCAGUGUUGGGGGUGCUGCGCUGGUUGUCCACUUCUCAGAUCCAGCCCGAGUCAACGACGGCACAACAACACAUCUCUCAAGGUUCAAGCCUCCAAAGAAAACAUAGUCGAAGAUGAAGGAAAUAAAAUAGAUUCACAGUCAAUAGUUAUUGAUAAUUUCAACACAUUAACGGUAAGUUGAACUAUUACCGUACUACCGUUUACAGUACUAAUAUACUAUUUAAGUUACCCCGUUUCUUCAGCAUCCUAAUUCUGUAAUUCGGGCGAUCCGAUUGGUGAGCUCCUUAUUAUCCAAACGUUAAACCUCAA